Molecule: non-coding RNA, 101 nt
Filed under: Thermoactinomyces sp.
Lineage: Bacteria; Bacillati; Bacillota; Bacilli; Caryophanales; Thermoactinomycetaceae
Description: Guanine sequence
Rfam family: Purine riboswitch aptamer
About the family: Riboswitches are metabolite binding domains within certain messenger RNAs that serve as precision sensors for their corresponding targets. Allosteric rearrangement of mRNA structure is mediated by ligand binding, and this results in modulation of gene expression.
Source: RNAcentral
AUAGAACAAAGUACUUUUCUUCAUAUAAGUCUGGGAAUAGGCCUGGAUGUCUCUACAAGGAAACCGUAAAUUUCCUUUCUAUGGGGAAAGUCUACUUUUAG